This 263-nucleotide ribosomal RNA is filed under the name uncultured bacterium. RNAcentral's name for it is "partial 16S ribosomal RNA". It matches the Rfam family "Bacterial small subunit ribosomal RNA", at positions 57 to 305 of the family's 1533-position model. The record is from RNAcentral.
GCAAGUCGAGGGAGAAAGCUCUUCGGAGUGAGUACACCGGCGCAAGGGUGAGUAAUAGUUAGUCAACGUACCGUCGGGACUGGGAUAAUUCCUCGAAACGGGUUGUAAUACUGGAUGUUGCCAGAUUGGCUCCGGCUGAUUUGGUGAAAGGAGCGGGACCCUUCGGGGCCGCUUGCCGGACGAGCGGACUAACUCUGAUUAGCUAGAUGGUGGGGUAACGGCCCACCAUGGCGAUGAUCAGUAGCCGGCCUGAGAGGGUGUUC